This 253-nucleotide ribosomal RNA is filed under the name uncultured Celerinatantimonas sp. RNAcentral describes it as "partial 16S ribosomal RNA". It matches the Rfam family "Bacterial small subunit ribosomal RNA", at positions 524 to 776 of the family's 1533-position model. Lineage: Bacteria; Pseudomonadati; Pseudomonadota; Gammaproteobacteria; Celerinatantimonadaceae. The record is from RNAcentral.
UACGGAGGGUGCGAGCGUUAAUCGGAAUUACUGGGCGUAAAGGGCACGUAGGCGGUUGUGUAAGUUGGUUGUGAAAACCCCGGGCUUAACCUGGGACGUGCAAUCAAAACUGCAGAGCUAGAGUCGGGUAGAGGGAGGUAGAAUUUCCGGUGUAGCGGUGAAAUGCGUAGAGAUCGGAAGGAAUACCGGUGGCGAAGGCGGCCUCCUGGACUCAGACUGACGCUGAGGUGCGAAAGCAUGGGGAGCAAACAGG